This 460-nucleotide ribosomal RNA is filed under the name uncultured bacterium. Its description in RNAcentral is "partial 16S ribosomal RNA". It matches the Rfam family "Bacterial small subunit ribosomal RNA", at positions 338 to 795 of the family's 1533-position model. The record is from RNAcentral.
CCUACGGGAGGCAGCAGUGAGGAAUAUUGGUCAAUGGACGCAAGUCUGAACCAGCCAUGCCGCGUGCAGGAAGACGGCUCUAUGAGUUGUAAACUGCUUUUGUACGAGGGUAAACGCAGAUACGCGUCUCUGUCUGAAAGUACCGUACGAAUAAGGAUCGGCUAGCUCCGUGCCAGCAGCCGCGGUAAUACGGAGGAUUCAAGCGUUAUCCGGAUUUAUUGGGUUUAAAGGGUGCGUAGGCGGUCGGAUAAGUUAGCGGUGAAAUCCCGAGGCUCAACUUCGGAAUUGCCUCUGAUACUGGUAGGCUAGAGAGUAGUUGCGGUAGGCGGAAUGUAUGGUGUAGCGGUGAAAUGCUUAGAGAUCAUACAGAACACCGAUUGCGAAGGCAGCUUACCAAGCUACUUCUGACGUUGAGGCACGAAAGCGUGGGGAGCAAACAGGAUUAGAUACCCUUGUAGUC